RNAcentral lists this unclassified non-coding RNA (229 nucleotides) under air metagenome. RNAcentral describes it as "partial contains small subunit ribosomal RNA, internal transcribed spacer 1, and 5.8S ribosomal RNA". The stretch from base 1 to 46 matches the Rfam family "Eukaryotic small subunit ribosomal RNA", at positions 1786 to 1831 of the family's 1831-position model. The record is from RNAcentral.
AAGUCGUAACAAGGUCUCCGUUGGUGAACCAGCGGAGGGAUCAUUACCGAGUUUACAACUCCCAAACCCCUGUGAACAUACCUAUCGUUGCUUCGGCGGGACCGCCCCGGCGCCUUCGGGCCCGGACCCAGGCGCCCGCCGGAGGACCCAAACUCUUGUUUUCAUAAGAAUCUUCUGAGUGAUACAAGCAAAUAAAUUAAAACUUUCAACAACGGAUCUCUUGGUUCUG